AUACGGAGGGUGAAAGCGUUACUCGGAAUCACUGGGCGUAAAGCGCGCGCCGGCGGCUAUUUAAGUUGGAUGUGAAAGCCUACGGCUCAACCGUAGAACUGCAUCCAAAACUAUUUAGCUAGAGUGUGGGAGAGGAAGAUGGAAUUAGUUGUGUAGGGGUAAGAUCCGUAGAGAUAACUAGGAAUACCAAAAGCGAAGGCAAUCUUCUGGAACACUACUGACGCUGAGGCGCGAAAGCGUGGGGAGCAAACAGGAUUAGAAACCCUAGUAGUCC
RNAcentral lists this ribosomal RNA (274 nucleotides) under uncultured bacterium. Its description in RNAcentral is "partial 16S ribosomal RNA". It matches the Rfam family "Bacterial small subunit ribosomal RNA", at positions 523 to 796 of the family's 1533-position model. The record is from RNAcentral.